GGCCGAAUAGCCCAGUGGUUAAGGCGCUUCCUUUACAGACGACUCAACUCGCCUGCGGAAGAGAUCGCGUGUUCGACCCACGCUUUGGUCA
Molecule: non-coding RNA, 91 nt
Organism: Kwoniella sp. DSM 27419
Lineage: Eukaryota; Fungi; Basidiomycota; Tremellomycetes; Tremellales; Cryptococcaceae
Source: the annotation of a GenBank genome assembly